UACGUAGGGGGCGAGCGUUGUCCGAAGUUACUGGGCGUAAAGCGCGCGUAGGCGGCUACUUAAGUCUGAUGUGAAAGGUUCAGGGCUCAACCCGAACAGUGCAUUGGAUACUGGGUAGCUUGAGUAUGGGAGAGGGAAGCGGAAUUCCAGGUGUAGCGGUGAAAUGCGUAGAUAUCUGGAGGAACACCGAUGGCGAAGGCAGCUUCCUGGCCUGUAACUGACGCUGAGGUGCGAAAGCGUGGGGAGCAAACAGG
This 254-nucleotide unclassified non-coding RNA is filed under the name uncultured Armatimonadales bacterium. RNAcentral's name for it is "contains 16S-23S intergenic spacer region". It matches the Rfam family "Bacterial small subunit ribosomal RNA", at positions 524 to 776 of the family's 1533-position model. Lineage: Bacteria; Bacillati; Armatimonadota; Armatimonadia; Armatimonadales. The record is from RNAcentral.